RNAcentral lists this ribosomal RNA (489 nucleotides) under uncultured bacterium. RNAcentral describes it as "partial 16S ribosomal RNA". It matches the Rfam family "Bacterial small subunit ribosomal RNA", at positions 30 to 507 of the family's 1533-position model. The record is from RNAcentral.
UUGAACGCUGGCGGCAGGCCUAACACAUGCAAGUCGAACGGUAACAGGAAGCAGCUUGCUGCUUCGCUGACGAGUGGCGGACGGGUGAGUAAUGUCUGGGAAGCUGCCUGAUGGAGGGGGAUAACUACUGGAAACGGUAGCUAAUACCGCAUAAUGUCGCAAGACCAAAGAGGGGGACCUUCGGGCCUCUUGCCAUCGGAUGUGCCCAGAUGGGAUUAGCUUGUUGGUGGGGUAACGGCUCACCAAGGCGCCGAUCCCUAGCUGGUCUGAGAGGAUGACCAGCCACACUGUGACUGAGACACGGUCCAGACUCCUACGGGAGGCAGCAGUGGGGAAUAUUGCACAAUGGGCGCAAGCCUGAUGCAGCCAUGCCGCGUGUAUGAAGAAGGCCUUCGGGUUGUAAAGUACUUUCAGCGGGGAGGAAGGGAGUAAAGUUAAUACCUUUGCUCAUUGACGUUACCCGCAGAAGAAGCACCGGCUAACUCCGUG